UAGAGUUUGAUCCUGGCUCAGAUUGAACGCUGGCGGCAUGCCUUACACAUGCAAGUCGAACGGUAGAGCAGCAAUGCUUGAGAGUGGCGAACGGGUGAGUAAUAUAUCGGAACGUGCCCAAUCGUGGGGGAUAACGUAGAGAAAUUUACGCUAAUACCGCAUACGAUCUAAGGAUGAAAGCGGGGGCUUCGCAAGAACCUCGCGCGAUUGGAGCGGCUGAUAGCAGAUUAGCUUGUUGGUGAGGUAAAAGCUCACCAAGGCGACGAUCUGUAGCUGGUUUGAGAGAACGACCAGCCACACUGGGACUGAGGCACGGCCCAGACUCCUACGGGAGGCAGCAGUGGGGAAUUUUGGACAAUGGGCGAAAGCCUGAUCCAGCAAUGCCGCGUGUGGGAAGAAGGCCUUCGGGUUGUAAACCACUUUUGUACGGAACGAAACGGUCUGCUUUAAUACAGCGGGCUAAUGACGGUACCGUAAGAAUAAGCACCGGCUAACUACGUGCCAGCAGCCGCGGUAAUACGUAGGGUGCGAGCGUUAAUCGGAAUUACUGGGCGUAAAGCGUGCGCAGGCGGUUAUAUAAGACAGUUGUGAAAUCCCCGGGCUCAACCUGGGAAUUGCAUUUGUGACUGUAUAGCUAGAGUACGGUAGAGGGGGAUGGAAUUCCGCGUGUAGCAGUGAAAUGCGUAGAUAUGCGGAGGAACACCGAUGGCGAAGGCAAUCCCCUGGACCUGUACUGACGCUCAUGCACGAAAGCGUGGGGAGCAAACAGGAUUAGAUACCCUGGUAG
Molecule: ribosomal RNA, 787 nt
Filed under: uncultured Polaromonas sp.
Lineage: Bacteria; Pseudomonadati; Pseudomonadota; Betaproteobacteria; Burkholderiales; Comamonadaceae
Description: bacterial SSU rRNA
Rfam family: Bacterial small subunit ribosomal RNA
Source: RNAcentral